This 98-nucleotide signal recognition particle RNA is filed under the name Bacteroidota bacterium. RNAcentral describes it as "Bacteroidetes bacterium signal recognition particle sRNA small type". It matches the Rfam family "Bacteroidales small SRP", at positions 10 to 101 of the family's 107-position model. From Rfam's summary of the family: The non-coding component of the signal recognition particle in Bacteroides The record is from RNAcentral. Lineage: Bacteria; Pseudomonadati; Bacteroidota.
UCGCAAGUCUGGUACGACCAGCUCCUGCUGAACUCCCCCAGGACCGGAAGGUAGCAAGGGUAGGCGGUCGUAGCGGUGCGAUGCCGGGCUUGCUUUUU